This 228-nucleotide ribosomal RNA is filed under the name uncultured bacterium. Its description in RNAcentral is "partial 16S ribosomal RNA". It matches the Rfam family "Bacterial small subunit ribosomal RNA", at positions 524 to 751 of the family's 1533-position model. The record is from RNAcentral.
GACGAACCGUACGAACGUUAUUCGGAAUCACUGGGCUUAAAGGGUGCGUAGGCGGCGCGGAAAGUUGGGUGUGAAAUCCCUCGGCUCAACCGAGGAACUGCGCCCAAAACUGCCGUGCUCGAGGGAGAUAGAGGUGAGCGGAACUUAGGGUGGAGCGGUGAAAUGCGUUGAUAUCCUAAGGAACACCGGUGGCGAAAGCGGCUCACUGGAUCUCUUCUGACGCUGAGG